Molecule: long non-coding RNA, 293 nt
Filed under: Lathyrus oleraceus (garden pea)
Lineage: Eukaryota; Viridiplantae; Streptophyta; Magnoliopsida; Fabales; Fabaceae
Description: Pisum sativum (pea) long non-coding RNA (PSAT_LNC000375)
Source: RNAcentral
CUACAAGUGGUCAAUCCCUUCAACCUUGAAUUGGCAAACAGGUUUGCGUAUCUCUAUUGUUUAUACUUUCAAUUGGCCAUAUCUACAUAUAUAAUGCAUCAUGAUUAAAUGUUGAUAUAUAAUUUGCUUUCGUAUGGGAAUUUAAAUAUGCCUGAAUACCCUGAAUGUUUGAUCAUGUUAUUCCUGUGAUAAAAUGCCAUUAAAAUUCAAAGUUUCUAACGUGGGGCUGUUUUCAAAUUCAAAAUCCGUGGCGCUCGCUAGCACCUCGCUAGGCGAGCCUGGGGCGAGUAUUC